UCCAGCCUGCCCAGUGACAAAGUUCAACGGCCGCGGUACCCUAACCGUGCGAAGGUAGCAUAAUCACUUGUUCUUUAAAUGAGGACUUGUAUCAACGGCACUACGAGGGCUAUACUGUCUCCUUUUUCUAAUCAGUGAAACUGAUCUCCCCGUGAAGAAGCGGGGAUCAAAAUAUAAGACGAGAAGACCCCAUGGAGCUUUAAACUCACUAUACACCUCUGUGCCUCGAUGCCAUAAAACACAAGAGAUCUGUGUACUAGUUUUAGGUUGGGGGGACCACGGAGUACAAUUUAACCUCCAUAACAAAUGGGCUAACACCCUUAUCCACGAGACACAACUCUAAGAAUUACUAAACUAAUGCUUACGACCCGAUAUUCGAUCAAUGAACCAAGUUACCCUGGGGAUAACAGCGCAAUCUACUUC
Molecule: ribosomal RNA, 423 nt
Filed under: Rana dalmatina (agile frog)
Lineage: Eukaryota; Metazoa; Chordata; Amphibia; Anura; Ranidae
Description: partial 16S ribosomal RNA
Rfam family: Bacterial large subunit ribosomal RNA
Source: RNAcentral